This 443-nucleotide ribosomal RNA is filed under the name uncultured bacterium. Its description in RNAcentral is "partial 16S ribosomal RNA". It matches the Rfam family "Bacterial small subunit ribosomal RNA", at positions 338 to 795 of the family's 1533-position model. The record is from RNAcentral.
CCUACGGGAGACAGCAGUGGGGAAUAUUGGACAAUGGGGGGAACUCUGAUCCAGCGACGCCGCGUGAGUGAAGAAGUAUUUCGGUAUGUAAAGCUCUAUCAGCAGGGAAGAAAGAAAUGACGGUACCUGACUAAGAAGCCCCGGCUAACUACGUGCCAGCAGCCGCGGUAAUACGUAGGGGGCAAGCGUUAUCCGGAUUUACUGGGGGUAAAGGGAGCGUAGACGGCGAUGCAAGUCUGAAGUGAAAGGCGGGGGCCCAACCCCCGGACUGCUUUGGAAACUGUAUGGCUGGAGUGCAGGAGAGGUAAGUGGAAUUCCUAGUGUAGCGGUGAAAUGCGUAGAUAUUAGGAGGAACACCAGUGGCGAAGGCGGCUUACUGGACUGUAACUGACGUUGAGGCUCGAAAGCGUGGGGAGCAAACAGGAUUAGAUACCCCGGUAGUC